GACGAACGCUGGCGGCGUGCUUAACACAUGCAAGUCGAACGAUGAAGCCGGAGCUUGCUCUGGUGAAUUAGUGGCGAACGGGUGAGUAACACGUGAGUAACCUGCCCUUGACUCUGGGAUAACUGCUAGAAAUGGUAGCUAAUACCGGAUACGACCCUCGGAGGCAUCUCCAGGGGGUGGAAAGAAUUUCGGUCAAGGAUGGACUCGCGGCCUGUCAGCUAGUUGGUGAGGUAACGGCUCACCAAGGCGACGACGGGUAGCCGGCCUGAGAGGGGGACCGGCCGCACUGGGACUGAGACACCGCCCAGACGCCUACGGGAGGCAGCAGAGGGGAAUAUUGCAAAAGCGGCGCAAGCCUGAUGCAGCAACGCCGCGUGAGGGAUGACGGCCUUCGGGUUGUAAACCUCUUUUAGUAGGGAAGAAGCGAAAGUGACGGUACCUGGAAAAAAAGCACCGGCUAACUACGUGCCAGCCGCCGCCGUAA
RNAcentral lists this ribosomal RNA (484 nucleotides) under uncultured bacterium. RNAcentral's name for it is "partial 16S ribosomal RNA". It matches the Rfam family "Bacterial small subunit ribosomal RNA", at positions 28 to 523 of the family's 1533-position model. The record is from RNAcentral.